Molecule: ribosomal RNA, 591 nt
Filed under: Cladosporium sp. F2
Lineage: Eukaryota; Fungi; Ascomycota; Dothideomycetes; Cladosporiales; Cladosporiaceae
Description: eukaryotic LSU rRNA
Rfam family: 5.8S ribosomal RNA (bases 226-379)
Source: RNAcentral
CUUGGUCAUUUAGAGGAAGUAAAAGUCGUAACAAGGUCUCCGUAGGUGAACCUGCGGAGGGAUCAUUACCAGUGACCCCCGGCUUCGGCCGGGGAUGAUCAUAACCCUUUGCUGUCCGACUCUGUUGCCUCCGGGGCGACCCUGCCUCCGGGCGGGGGCCCCGGGUGGACACAUUCAAACUCUUGCGUAACUUUGCAGUCUGAGUAAAUUUAAUUAAUAAAUUAAAACUUUCAACAACGGAUCUCUUGGUUCUGGCAUCGAUGAAGAACGCAGCGAAAUGCGAUAAGUAAUGUGAAUUGCAGAAUUCAGUGAAUCAUCGAAUCUUUGAACGCACAUUGCGCCCCCUGGUAUUCCGGGGGGCAUGCCUGUUCGAGCGUCAUUUCACCACUCAAGCCUCGCUUGGUAUUGGGCGACGCGGUCCGCCGCGCGCCUCAAAUCGACCGGCUGGGUCUUCUGUCCCCUCAGCGUUGUGGAAACUAUUCGCUAAAGGGUGCCACGGGAGGUCACGCCGUAAAACAAGCCCAUUUCUAAGGUUGACCUCGGAUCAGGUAGGGAUACCCGCUGAACUUAAGCAUAUCAAUAAGCGGAGGA